AGAGUUUGAUCAUGGCUCAGAACGAACGCUGGCGGCAUGCCUAACACAUGCAAGUCGAACGAGCUCUUCGGAGCUAGUGGCGCACGGGUGCGUAACGCGUGGGAAUCUGCCCUCUGGUACGGAAUAACUCAGGGAAACUUGAGCUAAUACCGUAUAAUGACUUCGGUCCAAAGAUUUAUCGCCUGAGGAUGAGCCCGCGUCGGAUUAGCUAGUUGGUGAGGUAAAAGCUCACCAAGGCGACGAUCCGUAGCUGGUCUGAGAGGAUGAUCAGCCACACUGGGACUGAGACACGGCCCAGACUCCUACGGGAGGCAGCAGUGGGGAAUAUUGGACAAUGGGCGAAAGCCUGAUCCAGCAAUGCCGCGUGAGUGAUGAAGGCCUUAGGGUUGUAAAGCUCUUUUACCCGGGAUGAUAAUGACAGUACCGGGAGAAUAAGCCCCGGCUAACUCCGUGCCAGCCGCCGCGGUAAUAC
Molecule: ribosomal RNA, 472 nt
Filed under: uncultured bacterium
Lineage: Bacteria
Description: bacterial SSU rRNA
Rfam family: Bacterial small subunit ribosomal RNA
Source: RNAcentral